This 65-nucleotide transfer RNA is filed under the name Armillifer armillatus. RNAcentral's name for it is "tRNA-Gln". The record is from RNAcentral. Lineage: Eukaryota; Metazoa; Arthropoda; Ichthyostraca; Porocephalida; Armilliferidae.
UACAAGUUAGUGUAAAGAGCAUUAUGGAAUUUGAAUCCAUAGGGGGGGCGGUGUCUUAUUUGUGG